This 434-nucleotide ribosomal RNA is filed under the name uncultured Anaerolineaceae bacterium. RNAcentral's name for it is "bacterial SSU rRNA". It matches the Rfam family "Bacterial small subunit ribosomal RNA", at positions 930 to 1382 of the family's 1533-position model. The record is from RNAcentral. Lineage: Bacteria; Bacillati; Chloroflexota; Anaerolineae; Anaerolineales; Anaerolineaceae.
CAGCGGAGCGUGUGGUUAAUUCGAUGCUACACGAAGAACUUACCAGGGUUUGACAUGCAAGUGGUAGGAAUCUGAAAGGGACCGACCUUCGGGAGCUUGCACAGGUGCUGCAUGGCUGUCGUCAGCUCGUGUCGUGAGAUGUUCGGUUAAGUCCGCUAACGAGCGCAACCCUCACUGUGUGUUAUAUGUGUCACACGGGACUGCCGGUUUUAAGCCGGAGGAAGGUGGGGAUGACGUCAAGUCAGCAUGGCCUUUAUAUCCUGGGCUACACACACGCUACAAUGGUCGGUACAAUAGGUUGCCAAGCCGCGAGGCGGAGCCAAUCCACAAAGCCGGCCUCAGUUCAGAUUGUAGGCUGCAACUCGCCUGCAUGAAGAUGGAGUUGCUAGUAACCGCAGGUCAGCAAUACUGCGGUGAAUACGUUCCCGGGGCUU